This 477-nucleotide ribosomal RNA is filed under the name Candidatus Scalindua brodae. Its description in RNAcentral is "bacterial SSU rRNA". It matches the Rfam family "Bacterial small subunit ribosomal RNA", at positions 365 to 832 of the family's 1533-position model. The record is from RNAcentral. Lineage: Bacteria; Pseudomonadati; Planctomycetota; Candidatus Brocadiia; Candidatus Brocadiales; Candidatus Scalinduaceae.
UUCGCAAUGCCCGAAAGGGUGACGAAGCGACGCCGCGUGGGUGAAGAAGGCCUUCGGGUUGUAAAGCCCUGUCAGGAGUUAAGAAAUGUAAGUGCGCUAAUAUCGCAUUUAUUUGACGAAGGCUCCAAAGGAAGUCACGGCUAACUCUGUGCCAGCAGCCGCGGUAAUACAGAGGUGGCAAGCGUUGUUCGGAAUUAUUGGGCGUAAAGAGCACGUAGGUGGGUUUGUAAGUCAGAUGUGAAAGCCUUCUGUUCAACGGAAGAAUUGCAUCUGAAACUACGAGUCUUGAGUGUAGGAGGGGAGAAUGGAACUUCUGGUGGAGCGGUGAAGUGCGUAGAUAUCAGAAGGAACGCCGGCGGCGAAAGCGAUUCUCUGGCCUAUUACUGUCACUCAGUGUGCGAAAGCUAGGGGAGCAAACGGGAUUAGAUACCCCGGUAGUCCUAGCCGUAAACGAUGGGCACUAAGUAGAGGGGUUUU